UACGUAGGGGGCAAGCGUUGUCCGGAAUCAUUGGGCGUAAAGCGCGUGUAGGCGGCCCGGUAAGUCCGCUGUGAAAGUCGGGGGCUCAACCCUCGAAUGCCGGUGGAUACUGUCGGGCUAGAGUACGGAAGAGGCGAGUGGAAUCCCUGGUGUAGCGGUGAAAUGCGCAGAUAUCAGGAGGAACACCAAUGGCGAAGGCAGCUCGCUGGAACGGUACUGACGCUGAGGCGCGAAAGCGUGGGGAGCGAACAGG
RNAcentral lists this ribosomal RNA (253 nucleotides) under uncultured bacterium. Its description in RNAcentral is "partial 16S ribosomal RNA". It matches the Rfam family "Bacterial small subunit ribosomal RNA", at positions 524 to 776 of the family's 1533-position model. The record is from RNAcentral.